UAGUGAGGCCUCCUGACUGGCGCCGAUACUCUGGCAACAGAGCGCCGGAUGCCGGAAAGUUGGUCAAACUUGAUCAUUUAGAGGAAGUAAAAGUCGUAACAAGGUUUCCGUAGGUGAACCUGCGGAAGGAUCAUUACCGAUACCGUCCAAGAAAAAAACAACUCUCCGUUGUUUUUUUGCCCUGUGAACUGUACCCAAUCGUUUAGGGGUCGGCCUGGCCGUUAAAUGGCGAGCGGACGCGAGGCAAUGCUCGCGGCCGGCCUCGCCAGCCCCGCCUGUGUUUUUCUUUUAACGUACGUGUCUACGGUCUGAUGUUGCGGCCUGACGAGGGCCGAGAGUUGGAAAUGCGAGAGACAACUUUUGACGGUGGAUCUCUUGGCUCACGCAUCGAUGAAGAACGCAGCCAGCUGCGAUAAGUAGUGUGAAUUGCAGAAUUCAGUGAAUCAUCGAAUCUUUGAACGCAAAUGGCGCUCUUGGGUUCUCCCAGGAGCAUGUCUGUCUGAGUGUCGGAUAUCAUCCAUCGCAAGCACGGUGCGCCCGCCCGUGCUCGCGGCGUUGAGGCGUCACGGCCGCCGCACAGUGUCGGCCGUGUCCCUUGAAAGGCAGAGAGACUCGCCGCGGUCCGUGGGUAUCUUGAUUCCCGCGGCGCACCAGCGGAGGCCAAAAGUGUUGGCAGUCCUUCGCGCGCCGUCGGGGCCCCGCCGCGCGAGUCGUCCAGGCGAGAAAUCUAUCUUCUUGACCUCAGAUCAGGCAAGGCUACCCGCUGAAUUUAAGCAUA
This 778-nucleotide unclassified non-coding RNA is filed under the name Acanthastrea hemprichii. Its description in RNAcentral is "sequence contains ITS1, 5.8S rRNA gene and ITS2". The stretch from base 356 to 509 matches the Rfam family "5.8S ribosomal RNA". Lineage: Eukaryota; Metazoa; Cnidaria; Anthozoa; Scleractinia; Lobophylliidae. The record is from RNAcentral.